AGUGAUGGUAACAGUGAGACUGAUACACAGCCCUAGAGGACCAUGUUCGCCGAAUCAUCGCAUGAACAUGGGUUGGGAGCUACACUAGAGUUGGCUCCUAGGUUUGGUCUGAAGAGGUUGGUUUACCUGUGCUUGAUGCUCCAGAUUCUCCACCUGCCCUGUCCACUGCUCCUCCAACGGACAAAACAUCAACCACGUCUACCUUUCGUUUUCCGUUGUGCUCAUCUACCCAUUUCAUUAAUUAAAGACUGGCAAAAAAAUUAGCUGGGUUUGGUUUCUGCCUCGUGGUAUCUUUCUAUAUGAUGUAUCUAUAGUUCUUUGUUGCUACAUGCUGCCUUACUAAUAAACAAUAGUUACAGCA
This is a long non-coding RNA of Lolium rigidum, 361 nucleotides long. RefSeq lists it as uncharacterized. NCBI's taxonomy places the organism in Eukaryota, Viridiplantae, Streptophyta, Magnoliopsida, Poales, Poaceae. The transcript is spliced from 2 exons. The record is from RefSeq and is a predicted model, not a curated record.